UGCACCUUAAUACUGUUAGGCCACCUGUGGGUGAAAGGUUACAGGCAAUUAUUUUUUUUUUGAAUUAUAUAUGAAUAUGGUACCUCCCUUACUACGAAUUUGGAAGAAGAAAGGAAAAUGACACAAAUUAUGAUUUUUAUACACACACACUGAUCAAAGAAAGGAAAAGAACAUAAAUACAUGUAGAUUUUUUUUGUAUCUUCGUACAAUAUUUGUUGUUGUUUUUAUUGAGAGAUGUGGAUCGGAUGAUCUUAUGCAGUUAGAGGAAAAUCAUCCGAGUAUUUUUUUUAUGCAUAGCUUACCUUCCUGUCUUAUGAUAUGAGACAUAAUUUUUGUUGUGACUGAAAUUCUUGACAUUUCUCAACAGUUCGUGGUACCAUACGCUGCAGCGGCGAAAAUUAAAAAAUGGUAAAUUGAGAAAGUGUUUUAGGAAUAUUCCCGAUUAUUUUUGAAAUCCUGAAGGAAAAAUAAAAUUCAUAAUGAUGAAAACAUAAAAGUGGUGAAUUUCCGGCGGUCCAGUUAGAAAUUUGAGUGCUGGGCCGCUGUAAUAUUUUAUGGAUGUUUUUUUUUAAUGUUCCUGCUCACGAGGUUCCACUUCCAACUUGCUGAUUUGUAUUCUAAUUGCAAUUUGUCAUUGGCUAACCCACCGACUACGGGCCUUAUAUCGGUCAGGGUUUUUAAUGAUAUAUUGAGCCAGAACAAGGAGUGAAAAUUACCCUAUUCUUUGGAAAGUAUAGGCUCUGAACCCGAACGCCCAAAUAUCGGGAGCUCCGCCCCCCGAUAAAUAAGCUGGGAACCUAACAGAAAUCAAAAUGUCCGUGAGUCUUAGAUCAUAAAAUUUGACAAAUAAAAUACAAGAAAUAAACAAAAGGGAACAAGUUAAAACAUCGGAAAAGUAAAAGAUUACCAAAAUGAAAAGAAGAAAAAAAUUUAAAGCUGCAAAUAGAAAACGAAAUUAUGUGUUUGUGAUUGUCCGUUAUUUAUUUAAAACAUUUUUUUUUUGUGCGUCAAAGUUUAAAUUUAUUUAUUAUUUAUUUAUUUUUUUAAUUUCCCAAAUUUAAUUAUUAUGUAAGUGAUAAAAACCAUUUUUGAAGGGGUCAACGCGAAAUUUUCGUUUUUGGGUAUCCUAGGGUGAAAUAUACCUCCAAAGAGCUCUCUAGGGGUAGGCUAUCCAGGAUCGUUUUUUUUUGUCAAAGCUAAAUUUAUUACCGAAAAGGGUAACAGUGUCUUUUUUUUGGAUAAUAACUCGACUCCGAGGAAGGGUUUUUAAUCGCCUUUGUUUUUUUUUCUAAUAUUCUUUUUUUUAGUUAAAUUGUCCUGUAAAUUUCGAGUGAUAAAUUUGAUUCGAUUUUUUUUUGUAGUUAAAAAGUCGUUUUGUAUUCUUUAUAUUCAAUGAUGUGAAUAAACUUAAAUGACGCCAAGGGUCGAAAAGAAUCUACUUGUUUGGUGUUUUGUUUAGUUUCAUGUGAAUGAAACUCUGCCUUUUUGAAGAUAUUUUCAGGGGUGUCAUGGUAGCGGAGUUUAAGUGAAGAUGGUAUGAUCUGAAACCGAUCAUCCACCAUCUUUGGGGGAAUCCAAACAUGGCCGCGGAUUUCCAUGGUUGGGAGGGUAUAGGCCACACUGCACCAACAUCCGCAGUGCCCUUGAGAUGAUGAUAGUCCGUCUGCUGUCACAUCUGUCAAAAACGGUUUUUUUCGAUUUUUGUUCUCGGCCUGAUUUAUGUUUUUGUUAGCAGGUGAGGUUAAGUUUCGGGGGCAAGAUCCCCCCCAUCCGGCGAGCUUAUGCCGUGCAUCGCAAGCAGGCCACGUCCUCCGGAACUUGACAUUCCUUCCUUUCCUUUCCAAACACUUCCUUUUCUGAUUUCCUACCUCAUCCUAUUUCCUACCUUACCGACCUACCUACACCUCCUCCGCUCCUCUUGCCUAG
Long non-coding RNA from Episyrphus balteatus (marmalade hoverfly), 1926 nucleotides. RefSeq lists it as uncharacterized. The transcript is spliced from 3 exons. The record is from RefSeq and is a predicted model, not a curated record. Lineage: Eukaryota; Metazoa; Arthropoda; Insecta; Diptera; Syrphidae.